RNAcentral lists this long non-coding RNA (1763 nucleotides) under Sarcophilus harrisii (Tasmanian devil). Its description in RNAcentral is "lncRNA (ENSSHAG00000022972.1)". The record is from RNAcentral. Lineage: Eukaryota; Metazoa; Chordata; Mammalia; Dasyuromorphia; Dasyuridae.
CUCACUUUUCAGGUAUUUAUUACAUUUAAAAAUUACAAAUAAUUCUCAUAUUGUGCCUUAGUCUAGUAUUUAAAAAUAUGUGGAAUAUUGUCUUUACCUUUAUAUAAAGUGGGGGGAAAAAAAGGAAGACUUAAAUAGAACACCAAAAGGGGGUAGGAGAUGAAAGUACGAUGUCAGUAACAAAUAAGAAAAUAACUAACUUAUUGAUGUCAACAACUGCAUUUAUAGACCUGGUCUAAAAAAAAAUCACUUUCUUUUAAUAUAAGUGGGAAGUUUCAAAAAAGUGGCAAAUAAGUUUGUGUAUUCAAUGGAGAACUGAGGAUUCAGCAAAGGCAAAUGCAAAUAAUUAAGGCAAUGAAUGCAGACAAACUAGAAAAACUGAAGUGGUUAUUAGAUAUGUCGGGAAAUAUUAGGAGAAAAUAUUGGGAAGAAUACAGGUUCAAUGCUUUGUAUAUUUUCUAUGUAAACUGAAUUCACUGAAUAACUAGAGAUUUUCUUCAUCAUCUAACACCACAAUUGCUCAAUUUUCUACUUUACCAGUGUAGAGGGUAAGAAAUAUCAAGAGGACAAAAUUCUCCAUUAAAUUACAUUUUUUUCCUGAAGCCUCCUUUCCAAAAAACACCGAGUGAUAAUAUGACCACUGAAACAAAUAUUCAUGUGAGAAUAUCACAAGAGUAAGAUAAUUAUUUUUAGUAUAUAAAAUGAAAAUGAUAUAUUCUUUUUUUCCCCUUCAAUUUCAGGACUUUAACCUACCUAUAAGUUAGCUUAGAGAAUGGACUUAAUAGGCUAGAUUCUCAUUAUAAAUAACUAUGAAGAGAGCUUGUAAAAACAUAAAGGGUAGAAAUCUGUCCUAGAGCUGUAUAGAUACCAGUUUUGUACAUAAAAUAGCAUUGUAUUAUACUGGUCUGCUAACUGUUCCCCUAUAUGAAAUUCUAGCUCAUCUUUCCUAACUUAUACAAAUGGUCUCCUACUCCUUUCUUACCUCUUAAUCACAGUAUUCUUAGCUUCUUUCAAAUACACUCAAAUCCUACAUAAAAAUCUUCUCUUGUCCUCCUGGCGUAUUCUUUUUGUCUUUUUUCCCCCUUGGCAUUUAUAUAACAUAUUUUGUCUAAAAGUAAAGUGCAAACUCCUUCAGGGCAGGAACAAUUUUAUUUUUGCUUAUAUUUCUAGUGCUAGCAAUACUUUUGCACAUAGUAAGCACUGGAGAAAUGUUUACUUAAUUGAAUAGAAUUAUUUCCAAAAAAUAUCUUUGUUUAUAUUUUCCAAAAUGUACUAGUGCUUUGUAAUCCUAACAAGCUCCCAAAGAACUGCAAGUGCCUUGGAAUUUGAGAUGCAGUUGCAUUCAUACACAUUAUGCUGACUCUGGCAUAAUCACAGGGAUAAAUGAAUAAAUCUAGGGACAAAUAAAGAUAGCUGUCAAUCUUUUAUUUCUAGGUGAUAUUUGUUCAUUGUCUAAUUUAAAUAUUAGAUUAUCUCUGUUAAUGUUACUAUUCAACAGCAAACUAAUAUUCUGUCUUAAGGUCACUACAAAACCAAAAAAGAAAACUUUUGCCCUGUGGAGCUGUCACAAAUUAACAAGGAAAAAUACAAUUAUGAAAGAAAUGACAGUGUAUCAUAUGGACAAGAAGUUUUCUGGUUUCUUUAACGCACUGAACAUUAGCCCCUCCAGUGUUUGUAAUAUAGAUUUCUUUUACUAGGAAAUUUACUAGGCUCUAGUAGCUGAGAAUGCUUCUUGAGUUAGGCAAAUAUUAUCUAGGCUUUUU